UUGUGUGCUGUCCCGGUUGCCAGGAGAUGAUGUUCCUACUGCUCUCGGCCUCUGGAGCCAGCUCUGGUUACUGCUGACAGGCCCCACCGGAGAGACUGCCUGAAGAGUCAGGCAGUUUCUUAGGUUCCCCUUCCGAGAGGCCUUGGCAGCGGACCCCGAAGAGCAGAGUGCCCAGAUGUGCUGAUGGCGUAGAAGUGCUUGCUGUGGGGAAGACCUGGCCGUCAGCACCAGGAGGCUGCCGGUGGACUGAGCAAGGAGGCAGCCGAGGAUCAGGGCCUGGGUGAUGUGCCACUCUCUGGACAAAGGCCACGGGGACAGAGGAAGAGUCAGAAGACGCUGCUGGGAAACCUGUGGCCAGGUGCGCUGGAGAAACAGUGAGUGCCGGGCUGGGAAGAGAGCCAGGUCGAAGAGGCGGUGGCCUCCUGCCACUUCCUUCCCUGGAUGACACGUGAGGAAGCGUACCACGUGGGCUCCGAGGGCCAGGUGGCUGGAGACCAGUCCUGCUCGGGACAAUGACCUGGAAUGGCACAGAUGGCACCGUGUGCAGCAUUUCACCUCAGCCUGUGCUGUGUGCAAUCCUUCACGGCUGUGCUGAGGAAGGUCCUCGGGGCAGACAUAAUGAUUUCACAAGGACUCAAGCCCAAGUUGGCCUGGCUUCAGCGUGCAGACUUUAGGAGAGUGAAAGAAAAAAAGGCAGGACAGGAAAUGGCAUUUAAUACAAGUGGCCCCACUUACCUUAUUUAUAGGCUUAGAAAACGGGCUGCCAGGGUUGGUGAGAUGACUGGGGGGGGGCACUUGCCACCAAGCAUGGCAACCUGAAGUUGAUCCCCAGGACCCACAUGGUGCAAGGAGAGAACUGACUCCCACAGGUUGUCUUCUGACCUCGACACACAUGGUAAA
This is a long non-coding RNA of Peromyscus leucopus (white-footed mouse), 900 nucleotides long. RefSeq lists it as uncharacterized. The transcript has 3 exons. The record is from RefSeq and is a predicted model, not a curated record. NCBI's taxonomy places the organism in Eukaryota, Metazoa, Chordata, Mammalia, Rodentia, Cricetidae.